AUCUGUUUUAUCCAUUUGCAGGGCAGUGAUCUGGUAUGUGGACAAGUAUGAUGAACGACUCCACCAGUUAAGUGCAGCAUCACCUUUGCAGACAAUGGAAUAUUCCGGACACAGGGUGCAGUCACUAUCAUAGCAGCGAAGAGUUGCCUCGAGCACUUUUGGUCAGCUUGCGAGCGAAGAGUACAGAUGUUACCAGUCGUCUCUAUUUUGCAGUCAGAAGAUUGAAAAGUUUGCCGCACAUGGGAAGUACGUGCACUACCUGAUUGAGGGAUCGGUAUUGAUGUCUGGCUUCGGCUUCUACCACUGGGUUUUCCAGCUUGGAACCAUCCAGGAUUUCUUGGAGAGUUGUCUUUCUUUGACCUGUUCUUGGGCAGUGAUCUGGUAUGUGGACAAGUACGAUGAACGACUCCACCAGUUAAGUGCAGCAUCACCUUUGCAGACAAUGGAAUAUUCCGGACACAGGGUGCAGUCACUAUCAUAGCAGCGAAGAGUUGCCUCGAGCACU
Long non-coding RNA from Mytilus californianus (California mussel), 505 nucleotides. RefSeq lists it as uncharacterized. NCBI's taxonomy places the organism in Eukaryota, Metazoa, Mollusca, Bivalvia, Mytilida, Mytilidae. The record is from RefSeq and is a predicted model, not a curated record. The transcript has 3 exons.